RNAcentral lists this ribosomal RNA (487 nucleotides) under uncultured Glomus. RNAcentral describes it as "SSU rRNA". It matches the Rfam family "Eukaryotic small subunit ribosomal RNA", at positions 569 to 1062 of the family's 1831-position model. The record is from RNAcentral. Lineage: Eukaryota; Fungi; Glomeromycota; Glomeromycetes; Glomerales; Glomeraceae.
AGCAGCCGCGGUAAUUCCAGCUCCAAUAGCGUAUAUUAAAGUUGUUGCAGUUAAAAAGCUCGUAGUUGAAUUUCGGGAUCAAUUUGUCGGUCGUGCCUCGGUACGUACUGGUAUUAUUGUUUUCUACCUUCUGAAGAACCUUGAUGUCAUUAAUUUGGUGUCUUGGGGAAUCAGGACUGUUACUUUGAAAAAUUAGAGUGUUUAAAGCAAGCAUACGCUUGAAUACAUUAGCAUGGAAUAAUGAAAUAGGACGUUUGAUUCUAUUUUGUUGGUUUCUAGGAUCGACGUAAUGAUUAAUAGGGAUAGUUGGGGGCAUUAGUAUUCAAUUGUCAGAGGUGAAAUUCUUGGAUUUAUUGAAGACUAACUACUGCGAAAGCAUUUGCCAAGGAUGUUUUCAUUAAUCAAGAACGAAAGUUAGGGGAUCGAAGACGAUCAGAUACCGUCGUAGUCUUAACCAUAAACUAUGCCGACUAGGGAUCGGAUGAUG